This 253-nucleotide ribosomal RNA is filed under the name uncultured bacterium. RNAcentral describes it as "partial 16S ribosomal RNA". It matches the Rfam family "Bacterial small subunit ribosomal RNA", at positions 524 to 776 of the family's 1533-position model. The record is from RNAcentral.
UACGUAGGGGGCAAGCGUUGUCCGGAUUUACUGGGCGUAAAGGGCUCGUAGGCGGCCAACUAAGUCAGACGUGAAAUCCCUCAGCUUAACUGGGGAACUGCGUCUGAUACUGGAUGGCUUGGAUUCGGGAGAGGAAUGCGGAAUUCCAGGUGUAGCGGUGAAAUGCGUAGAUAUCUGGAGGAACACCGGUGGCGAAGGCGGCAUUCUGGACCGACAUUGACGCUGAGGAGCGAAAGCCAGGGGAGCAAACGGG